Long non-coding RNA from Manis pentadactyla (Chinese pangolin), 11007 nucleotides. RefSeq lists it as uncharacterized. NCBI's taxonomy places the organism in Eukaryota, Metazoa, Chordata, Mammalia, Pholidota, Manidae. The transcript has 5 exons. The record is from RefSeq and is a predicted model, not a curated record.
GUGCCUCUCUGACGCAGCUCCCUGACACGAAGGACCCCCGGGCAGUGGGGAAAGGUCUGCAGCCUGCCUGCCCGUGCUCCCGGAACCCUCAGCCCCCUCUGCGUCUCUCCUGGCUGGGUCCCUGGGCCUCUGCCAUUCUGUGCGGAAGGCCGGUGGCAGGGAGCCUUGCGCAGGGCAAUUGGAAACCUUUACUCUGGGAUUCAUCACUGGGUCGCCCAGUGUCCAGGCUUCUAAGGACCAUCCACACCAUCUGGUCAGUUCUAACACAGACCCUGUUGGAAAAACCCUGCAGCCCUGAUUUGAGUCUGCUGCACAGUUCUGAGGCGGCUCCCUGGCCAGGCAGGGCCGUGGCCGCAGCUCCGACUGUCGGAGGGCCCCUCUGCCGGGGGAGGGCAGGAGAGGGCCCUGGCACCCAGGGCACUGGCCUGGCCCUGGGCUGCCUUUCUCCCUCCUCCUCCGUGACCUGGGAGCCAAGACGGGGCUGCUGUUUCCAGAGGCUGGUUCAGGCCCUGGGGCCGUCCCCCCAAGCCCAUCCCCUUGAGCCCCGGAGCACUGCCCACCCCCUUCCUCUCAGGGUGCCAUGAGCUACGGCUGAGAGAGGUGACUGACCAUCUUCUGUGUGCCAGGCCUAGACCCCCUGCUCCUCUACCCUCCUGUCCUUCCCCUCCUCCAUUAUGAGGCUCAGAUCCUCCUUGGCCACCUGAAAUUGACCGAAGGCUAGGGAAUGAAGCUUUCUGUUUGGUGUCUCCUUUCUUUCAGGGGCUCAAAGCACUUUUAUAAGCAUUAACCUCCUUUAUCCACCCAGCCGUUGUCCUGUUUGUUCCUUGUAUUUUACUAUUAGCUGAGGUGUUGUGUCUAACCCUCAGGCAUCCAGCAAGGGGACAUUCCCCAAGCCAGAGGUGGGGCGGGCAGAGCGCGACUCCCAUGCCUACGUGCCUGGGACCCCGGAGCCAGGUCCCACCCCUGGCCAGUGCCCAGCUCUUCUUCUCCUGUGCCUGCCUUUGGCCAGGUCUUUGCCCCCAGCACCCACUGCAGUAAGCAGGGAAGGUGUCCCUGGGAGGCCACUAUGAGCUGGGAGGUGGUGGACCCAGAGGCAGCAGGGUGGGGGUGGGGGUUGCCGCACAUAAACGAGGAAGCAGGCCAUGUGGGCUUUGCCACCUGGCUGUGUGACCUUGGGCCAGUAACUUUGCCUCCAAGCCUGACUUUAUUGAGAAAUAUGAUGGGGAUGAUAAGACUCUCAUGAAUACAAAAUCAGAGGUCGUGAAAGUGAUCUGUAAACACCGAAGCUGUGUGCAAAUGUCUAGGGUGUUGCACCGUCUCCCUACCCCUAGAAUGGGGGUUGGACAAGAUGACCCCGUGGGAGCAUCGGCCCAGCAUUCUCACUCAGGUUCUAAGAUGAAAGGAGCGCAUCCCCUCCUCCCGACCCAGCUCUGAGCCUGAGCCCCUUGGCCCAAGUGACCAGAGUGGGGGGUGGACUUGGCCGGGGGCAUAUGGGUCAGAAAUCAGCCUCAGUUGUCCCCGGAUAGGUCGCCUGACCCAAAGGGGCUCCUUCCACCGCCUCACACCACAGGCAGCUAUGUCAUUCAUGACCACUAGGACACAGGCAAGCCUCCAGAGCUUGUCCACAUGGGACGAGGGUGAUGUCAGCCCCGCCAGUGCCCAGCGGCUGCAGGGCCGCCCUGCUAGGCUGGAUAAUCUGCUGGUGUGGUGCUGCCUGCCCAGAGGAAGGGAUGCCUUUUCUGUGCACAAGGGUCUGCUUGCCAAGCCUUACCCCCAUGGGUGCUGAGCCUUGUGGGGAGGGGCGCUUUAUCCUAAUUCACACAAAGGAGUUUAGGUGCAGGCCUUUCCAGAGCAGGCCACGGACGGGCAGCCCAGUUGGGCAGGAGAUGCCCAGCCACCCCUCUCCACAGUGGGCUACCUUGCCCCCUCUGCCCCUGGCUCCAGAGCCACCCCAGAGCAAUGGAAAACAUUUCAACAUCUCCUCCCCAACAGGUCAUUAUAAUGAAAAACAUACUGGCUCCCCAAUCCCUUGCCCACAUAUCCUAACUCCCAAAAGCUCUGAAAGCUCGAAGUGUUUUUUGUAAUGUAUUUGGCAACCACACCUGGCCUGAUCAAACAUCAGGCUGCCUAUGGUCUUCAGGUUUCCCACUUUGGGUGAGUAUUCAUAUUAUUGAGAAGUAUUAAUGUGUUUGAUCCAGACCUCACCGGGUUGUAUAUGAUAUGGGAAUGUGCAUAGUAUUACCUUUCUAAAACCACAGAGUCAUAUAAACUCUGAAAGACAAAUGGCCAAAGUUUUCAGAUAAGAAAUUCUAGAUCUGUAGUAACCAGCACUCAGUAUAGGCCUUGUAAUGUCCCAGACACCGUGCUUAAGCACUUCACAAGUAUUGACUCGUGUCAUCCAGCAAGUCAACGUAUUUCCAUUUUAUAGAUGCAAUGGAAGCCUGGGAGGUUCAGUAACCUUGCCAAAGUCGCAUAGUUGACUAAGGGGUGGGGCCAGGGUUUGAAUCAUACUGUGAGCACUACACUGUAUAGGUGGGGAGACUGAGGCCCAGAGGCGAAAGGAGGCAGCUCAGGGUCCAUCAGUGAGUCCGCAGGGAGCCGAGCCUGGGUCCUGGAGUCCCCCAGGAGCUGCCCAGGAGCUCUCAGCUCAGGCUGAGUUUGUCCAACCCAUCAGGAGGAGUUUAAAAAUAGGAUAAGUUCCCGUGGAAAGUUUUCAGAUUUCACUGAAUUAAAACCAGCUGACCCUGUGCACACAGCCCCACUCCCCAGCAGGCGAGGGGCUGGGCUGUGCGCUGAGGUCCCCAUGCCUGUUCCCAGCCUACCCCUAGGGAGGGAAACUGCCUUGGGGACUCAGAGAGGCCAGUGACCAGGACAAGGGACAGGAUGGGCUCCAGCUGACGGGAAGGAAUGGGAGACCCCCUUCUCUGCUGGGAGAGAAGUGUCUCCAACACUCACUGGCUCCAUCUGUCCUCCAGUUUCUGAAGACGGACAGAGGACUCAGAGCAUUCCCUCAUGCCUGCAUGUUCCGGUAGUUUCUGUUUUUACACUGACCUGUUCUACCGCAACUUCACUCCUCUGUUUGUCCUUUCGUGGUCAUACAGCGGGCGUACAGAACCUCCCUGAUGAGGAAGGCUGGCCACAUGAAACACUAGGGCACAAUCCUGCUCUUGGAAAGCUGCAGUCACACAGAACAGGCACUGCAGCAGGGCAGGGGGUUUGUACUGGGGACACAGGAGCAACCCUGGGCUGGUCCGGGAGGGGAGGAGCAGGAGGGAGGAGGACCAAGGGCCCUUCCGGGCCGGGGACAGGCUCAUUCCCCUAGCAGGCUGAUGUGCAGAGAGGGAUCGUGGUGAGGAAGCAGGUGGAGGUGGGCACGUGCCCUGUGAAAGGGCCUCCUGGCUCCACUGAGCUGAUCCUAAGGAUGCUGGGUGGGCAGGAGAGGAUUUCAUGUCUUCCUGGAUCCAGGCUGGUCCGGGAAGACUCCACUCUUGCCAGGGGCCACGUGGAAGUUACCUGAGCAAUUUCCACAUCAGUCUUCUCUGGGUCAGGUCCUGCUCCUGUCACCUGUGUAGACCGGUCCCUGGCGCAGAGCCGAGCACUUUGGUAAGAGGUGGCUGAGCCAAGCUGCCCUAGGUGCUGCCACAAUCUCCCCUGUCCUAAAAGUCCGUCAGCUGCUCCUAGAAAGAUGAGACCCUCAGGGAAAUCUGAGCCUGAACUGGGCUCAGAUCUUAUAUGAUAUUAAGAAAUUAUUAUUAACUUUAUCAACAAGUAUGACUCUGUGUUGUGGUUAUAUAAAACCAACAAACUCAAUCUAUUGGAGAGAAAAACUUAAGUAUUUAUGCGUAAAAGAUAUAUGACGUAUGACGUCUGUGAUUGUUUUAACGCACACACACACAGGGCCCUCCUGCCCCCUCAGUCCUUGCACUGCCUGCUCCGCCCCGGCCCAUCCCAGGCCUGCAUUUGGCAGGAAGGGACAAUUAGCCUAGUCAGGCCAAUAAGAGGACACUCGGCCUGCCUGUGGGCUUGGUGCUUUGGAGGCUGCUGAGGUGAGCGGCCAGGCCCCAGCCCCGGCGCCCACAGUGAAGCAGAGAGUGGCGUCCAGUGAUGGGGCCCCCGUGGUUGCCAUGCUCUCUGAGAGCAGAUCUUGAGCAGUGGUCCUGGCUGGAUACAGAGCCCUGGGUUGAUGGCUUCCAGAGCAGUCCACGGGCUGGUCACUGGUGCCGGCCAUCACUGUCUGGCUGUUGGGAGAGGCCUCAGGUUGUCUGAGGGCCUACUGAGGCACAUCUCUGCCCUCUGUGUCACCCGGGCUUGGCCUGUGAACUGGCCCAGAGUGCGCCUCACUUGGCCCAUUGUGGGGACGGCAGCGAUAACCUGCACACCUUGCUCCUCCCAGCUUUCAGAGCCAGGGGCUAUCGCUGGGCAGCCGGACAGCGUGGCAAUGUGGAGAAAUACUACCCACUGCCAACAGCAGCCCUGGUUAAUUACCAUGGCAGGAGGGAGAGCAAGGCGAGUCUCCAGGCCUGAGGGCGGCAGACCUACCCCGUGGGGCCCGGCAGCCAGCCCUGGCCGGGUAAUCGGGGCGGCAUUCCUGCUGAUUCCUGCUGAUCUCUCCCAUCUCCACCCAGAGGCUUAAUGAAGAAAACAGCUUUUCCGAGCCUCCUGAGCUGCCACACACAGCCUGGGCAGGCCCCCCAGGGCCACGAAGCCCCAGCGGCUUGACUUUCCCAGGCCCCUCCCACCGGAGCAGGGCCCAGGGGGCUGCUCCACAGUCACGCAGAGUCAGCCUGGGAGGCCGCCUGGAGCCGGGGCCUCCUGCCAGGAGGGUGAGCCAGGGGCAGCUGGGCUCGGAAGCCCUCCUCUGAGCCUGUGCUUGGGGCUCCCUGCCAUCGUCCCCACUUCCUAGUCACCCUCAGGCCUGGCAGUCCAGCUCAGGGUCCUGCCUGCCUCCACUCUGGGGCCCCAAAGAGCCAUUUAGCGGAGGCCCAACUCCUGACGAUGGAGUAGCAAAGGGCAGGCUGAUGAGAGAAGUGGGAGAGGCCAGGGGCAGAGAGGCACUGCCAGGGGCUCCGGCUGUGGAAUGAACUCCAGGAGUGCAGGGAAGCUCUCCCCACCCACGCCGGGAGUGCCAGGCCGAGUGGGCAGGCAGGCAGCUGUGACCCCCUAGGAGUGACUCGUGAUGACCAGCAUUGCCUUUGGGGAGAGUUUCCAGGGGGUCUGGAGGCUCUGCAGCUGGGCCAGCCUGCAGAAUAGUCACGCCUGCUCCAAAUGAGCUCCAGGAGCCCAGGUCAAGGGCAGAGCGGCCCUGCUGGUUCCCUCCCAGGCUCUGGGAGACCACCCACAUGGGCUCUAUCAGCGCAGAUUGUUCUCCGGCUCUCUGGCUGUGCACACAAAACCCAACAAUCUCCAAGUUGCUCUGGCCGUCUUUUCUGGAACUGCCUCGUCCCAACAGCUGGCCUGAGAAGACACUGGACCACAGGGAGGGACGCAGGAGGUUAAGUAGAGCAGAGUAAGGUGGCACAGGGCUGAGAGGCUCCUGCCGGGCUAGCCUUUGACCUUGAGGACACCACUUUCUGAGAGGAGCCCCAGCCUGAACUCGGGUGGGGGCUGCCACCUAGCACUUGCUCUGCCCUUGAUUUCUUUCCAAAACCGCCCCCUUCCCAGGUCCUGGGCUCGGUCCCAGGGGAACUGUCUGCUGCUGCUCACACAUGUUCCAUGAACCUUGGCUCAUGCUGGCCUCCACAUGGGAGUCCCUUCACGUGGCCCAGCCCCCCUGCAGCCGCUCCUCUGCACACUCAGCAGAUCUUUCUGGAAUGUGGGUCCUUCUCCCUCGGGGCUGCACUGUUGGCGUGGUCUGGUCAGGACACGGGCCUACAGUCUGACUGUUCCAGAUUCAAAUCCCAGCUCUGCCACUUCCCACCUGGGUGACCUUGGUCAAGAGACAGAAGCUUAGUUGCUUCAUCUAUAAAAUGGGAAUCAUGGCCACUUCACAGGUUGUUUUUUUAACAGGGAUUAAAUGAGACAUGUGUGACAUGUUUUGUGUGGGCCUUGGUUCACAGUAACGCUGGUAAAUACAGUGAUUGUGGCCACAUUGUGGUGGUGGUGGCCAUUGCUCCUGUCAUUAUCCCUGCAAAGAGUGCCGGUUCCCUGAGGACAGGAACCCUGGCUUUUUGUCUCUGUAUUCCCUCCCUGCCUGCCCAACCCUGCAGGGUGAGUGUGACUGGCGCAGAGUGGAGGCCUGUUCAAAUCUGGAUCAAGUGGAAGGCAGUGGGGUCCCCUGGGGAAGGCAGGAGGGCCAUGGCGUUUCCCGGCAGUGCGUGGAUAGAACCCAGUGGCUCUGUGUUGCUCUGAGCUGCAACCCCAGCUGCAGCCUGAUGGCCAAGCUCCCUCUGCAGAGCCUGGGCUCAGUCAGGGCCCCGCCUGCCAGGAGUGCUGCUGCCCUCAGGGUGGAAAUGGACAUGACCUGUGGGUCCUGGACACUUUGCUUCUCUGAGAGGUGGCACCCUGGCUCCUUCCUAUGCAACAAACAUUCCUCGACACUAACUGCAUGCCAAGCCUAUUGCUAACUGGGGCCUGAGGCAAGUCCCAUACCUUUCUGAGUCUUGGGUCUGUCAUCUGUCAACUAAGCACUCUAUAAAUUCCUGGCUUCAAAGAGUUUUUGGAACAUUAAAUGAGAUAAUAAAACACAGAGCCUGGGAUGGGGGGAAGGGUAGUUUCAGCAGACACGAGCUUCCCCAUCCCCACCCACCAGCCCUGGCAGCCCCUGUCCUCAACUGGUUGGUAGCAAAGGAUCCUGGGGAGAGCCAUGCCCUGGUCUGAGGAAGGGGAGGUCCUUCCAAGCUCAGGCUGCUGUCUUCCUGCCCUUGUGGACAGUGGCUCAGGUCACCUUGGUCCUGUGCUUUGUCACCUGGGGCCCAGGAGGUCCAUCCCUGGGGACGAGGGGGAGACCUGCCCUUCCCCCCUCACCUCAGAGGCCCAGCCCCUGACCAGUGUCUGAUUCCUACAUUUAGAAGGCCCUGUCCAAGCCUAUGCUGACCAAAGACUGGCUAGAGGUACUAGAAAAACCCCUUCAGCCCCCAGAUCACCUUGGCCCUGGGCCAGGCCUGGGGAUACCUUCCCUGGCCAGUCCACCACCCAGCUGCCCUCUGUGAACCUUCAAAUGAACAGUCGGUGCAGGCACCAUUUCCCCCAGGACCAGCUGCAUGUUUGAGCAGUAGUCUCUUCUGGUUUAUCUGGAGGAAGGAAGAUGACGUCACGAGGUAAACCACACAGCCUGAAACCACGAGGCCGGGUACCCCGGUGAUAUUCGCUUUUCAGCGAGUCACUCGUGCACAGAGGGACACAUUGCCUGGGCCUUUCUGGUCAGAGAGUGGCUGGGAAGACAGAGGGAGAUUUUCAAACACAGAACCACAAGAAAAGAGAGGGCCCCAGAAAAGAUGAACGUCAGAGGCCAGGCAGGGUGGCUUCCGGGUGCUGUGGGACAGUCAAGUGGACUUUGUGGCCACUCACGAGGUGCUUGGUACCUGAGGUUCUGAUGAUUGUAUUUACCAUGGUAGGCGUAAUGGGUGAUAAUAAUAUCGAUGAUAGGUACCACUUAUGUGGGCACAUUACCCAGUUAGCUCCUCAACAGCAACCCCCUGAGAUCAGAACCCAAGAGGUUGGCAUGAUCCUGUGGACACAGAGGGGAGAUGAGGCUGGUGGACCUCUGCUCUGUGCUCUCAACCUUGCAACUACAAAGCUGACUUGCCAGCAGGCUGGGUGUCUGCCUGCCCUGAGGCCUGGAGUUAAGCCCUAACCCCCAGCUGCUAACUGUGACCUGGAGGAAGCCCCUUACCCUCUGCAUGCCUCUGUUUUUUCCUCUGCCCAGUGUCCUGCCUUGCAGCUAAGAGAUUUCCUAAGAUGAACCCUAUCCUUCAGUCUCAUUUCAUUACUUUGUCUAUGCUCUGAGCAGGUUUUUCUGGGGAAAUUGGCUCUAAAGAGUAGGCUGGGGCACUGGUUCUGGUGGGCUAGUGGGAGGGGCUGGAGGGGGAUGCCCUUCGUGUGGACAGCUUGAAUGCGGAGAGCUGUGUGGGGAGAUCCAGAGAAGCCUCACUUUCUCAGGAAACCAGAGCUGCAUGAGUUGGGGGUGGCAGGCGCCUAAGGGAAGUUCCCUGUAUGUCUGGGUGUGUAUGAGUGAGAGUGUAAGGGUAGGCGUGAUGCCCACCAGGGUAGGUAGUGUCCCUGAUCCUGCAGCCAAGACGGUCCAUGCACACGUGCUGCCCAGACCCCAGGCCCUCCACCUCAGGGCGGGCCAUAGCUCUGGCUCUGACAUGCUCUGAGGGCCUAUAGGGACUGCUGUCUCAGACAGGGGACCGACAAGAGGACGCCACACAGGGAGUUGGCCCAGCUCCUCUUCAGGGGCCUCCUGAUGCCCAGCGUUCCUCCACUGGAGUCACAGCUGCCUGGGCUGAGGCCCAUCCUCAUCAGUUCUUUUCCUGAUAACGCAGGUACCCUGUGGGAGAGGCAGCACCUUGCGUCAGUGCAAGUGGAUAUAGACUUCCAGCACAAGCCUCUCAUUAUAAGAUGAGAAAACUGAGACCAUACUGGGGACAAGAUCUGCCCGCGGUCACAUAUUAGCUGACGGACAUGCAGGAGCAGGAACCCAGAAGGGAGGGCCACAGCGUGUCUAAGCUGGAAGGCCUCCCAAAUCCCCAGCCAAGCCCACUGAUGGGUCCCAAAUGAGCGGAGGGAGGCCACGAGAAGGGAGCUCCCACCUCAUCAGCAGGCCCGGAGGAGCCUGUUGGGAGGCCCCCAGGACCCGAGGAGGCCUGGGGACCGGGAACCAGAGCUGCUGCUCCAAAGCAAAGCCCUCAGUGGUCCCGCAGAGCUGGAGCUGGCGGCUCCUGGGGAAAAGCCAAGCUACUGAGACGUGAAGGGCCUUCCCUCUGAUGUGGAGUGAGCCCCCUCCCAGGGGUUCCUUCCCAGCAGCCCAAAGAGCAGGCAGAGGAGCCCACGGCGGAGUGCGCGGUCCCUCCUGGGGCCACCGUGCACUGGCGCCCGGGGCUGCAGCUGCCCCCGAGCACUCCGUCCCUGUUCAUCCGAGUCAGCAGGAGGAAGCAGAGAAGGUGGCCUGGCAGCCGGCCUGGCAGCCUUCCCUGCUGGCUGUGGACACGUCUUUGGUGGCGGGAGGUAACCAUCCAGGACGUGAUGAUUCGCCCACAUCGAGGUGUACCCGUACAUCGGUCACGAGAACAGUUUGCCCAGAGGGGUUUUUGAGGGCUGAUGGCAGACGUGAGUGUGAGGGAAGUCCCAGCCGGUCCUUGGACCCAUCAUAUAAAGCUGGCAUCAUGAGCGGUACAGGAGGGGAGUAAGGGGUUGGGUUGGGCCGGCUUUGGAUUUGGACUUGGGGCUAGUUAGGUGGGCGGUGGGUGGAGUUGCCAGGCCCUUUUCUCCAGCCCCACUCAGUGCUUAUCGCCUCAUACCCGGACCUUGCCAAUCCCUUCCUCAGGGGCCUCCCUGCCCAAGCCUCGCCCUCUAACUGAUCCCCCGACCUUUGCGGGACUGCUUCCUGAAGGACCCUUAGACUGUGCUCUUUGAGCUGAUCAAGGGUCACCUCUCCCUGGCUCUUAAAUCUUCAGCGGCUCCCUAUUACCUGUGGGAACUGAAGACUCCAGGCCUCGCAGUGGCCUCAGUCACCCUGCUCCCCAGUCCCUAAGAGAACCCCCUGUCUCAACCAAAGGCCCUGGGCUCCUCUGGCUCUGGGCCCCACCUUCCCCUGGAAUCCUCCUCCUUUCCCCCCCUCAAGGCACAGCCCAAGUCCCGCCUCUCCAGGAGGCUUGGCCUGACUACCCUAUCACAGUGGAGAAUGGUUGUGUCCGGAAGCGGGACCCUCUUCUUCCUGCUCAGCCUUCCUUGUGUGCAGUGCAAACCGCAGCCUAAGGCACCCUCCUCCUCCAGGCCCUCUGCACUCUUGGCAUUCAUUUAUUGGGGAAAGAGCCCAGUUUUGGAGCAAGACAGGCCUGGGUUAAAUUUCCGGCUCAGCUCCAGUCCCAUUAACUAGUUGCAAGUCACUUAACCUUUCUGAGCUUCCAUCUUCCACUCAAUAAAUGGGACAAGGCCUGCCCUGUGGGACCCUUGAGAGUACAGGAUGCUGAAUAGCAUCUGUUAUUUUGGCCUUCCCAGUGUCCAUUCCUCUUUCUUUUGAUGAUAUCAUCUGGGUUUGCUGGUGGGUAUGGGAGACCAGGUAGGGCUGACCUUACUUUCUGUUUCUAGUGUGAGUGUAUGACCCAGGCCUGGCCAUUGAGAACAUUCCCUUGCCCUGGCCACGGACAUAGGUGCCCAGAGAUGGAUAUGAGACUCAAAUCAGGCUAGUGGGAAUUACACUUGGGACUUGGGGUUACUAAGACUUUCUUUCCAUCAUAGUUAAUUGGCUGGGAGUACUGUGUUCCCCCAAAAGAUAUGUUCAAGCUCUAACUCCCGUUGAAUGUAAUCUCAUUUGGAAAUACCGUCUUUGGAGUUGUAGUCAAGUGAAGAGAAAGCCACACUGAAUUAGGGUGGACCCUGAUCCAGUGACUAGCAUCCUUGUACAAAGAGGAAAACAGGACAUGGAGACACACCGGGGCAAGGCCAUAUGGCAACAGAGGCAGAGACGGGAGUGAUGUGUCUGCAGGACAAGGAACCCAGGAUUGCCAGGAGCCGCCAGAAGCUAGGAGAGAGGCGUGGGACCCAGAGCCUCCGGAGGCGAGCAGCACUGUCGAGGCUGAGAUUUCAGACUGCUGGCCUCCGCAGCUAUAAGAGAAUAAAUAGCCUUCUGUGUGCAGCCACCCAAGUCUGUGGCGAUUUGUUAGGGCAGCUGCAGGAAACGUCUGUAGCCACCUGAUGGAGAGAGUGCCUGAGGCCAGCACUGUGGAAAUCAGGGCUGACUCCCCGGAUUCCUGGCACCAUGACAACGCCUGGAUCCAGCAGUGGCUGAACCAAGAGGUCUACCGGACUUCUCAGUCACAUCAGCCAAUAUACUCUGUAUUUUACUAA